Molecule: ribosomal RNA, 447 nt
Filed under: Triticum aestivum (bread wheat)
Lineage: Eukaryota; Viridiplantae; Streptophyta; Magnoliopsida; Poales; Poaceae
Description: partial small subunit ribosomal RNA
Source: RNAcentral
AUGUUCUCCAUCGCGGUAGAUCUGCGGAUUUCUGCCGUAGCGGACCUUAUUGACUUAGGGCAUCUCGCGUUCCAGCGUCCUUUUGGACAUGAGGAGAAUCAGGCAUGGCAGGACCUGCUUUACUGCAUUGCUUUGCACGAGCCAGAUCUGGAGAUUGGAGAGGACUGCACCAGGUGGCGACUAGAGCCUUCUAGGCAAUUCUACUCUAAAUCUCUCUACGAGGCUAUAGCCCCUUUGCCAGGUCCUGAGGCUCUCACCACCAUCUAGGCGAUUCGGCUCCCCUUAAAGAUUAUGAUCUUCUUAUGGCAAUGGAUUUGUGGCCGCCUUCCGACCAACAUCGAGGUCCUGAAACGCAACGGACCAGGUGAUGGGCAAUGCCCACUUUGUGGGACUGAAGAGGAUAUGAACCAUAUCUUCUUCUCAUGCGUGUCCGCGUUGUUCCUCUAG